RNAcentral lists this long non-coding RNA (647 nucleotides) under Felis catus (domestic cat). RNAcentral's name for it is "lncRNA (ENSFCAG00000043557.2)". Lineage: Eukaryota; Metazoa; Chordata; Mammalia; Carnivora; Felidae. The record is from RNAcentral.
GCUUGGGUGAAUUCCUCAACCUUUGUAUUGUCAAUUACAUAAUGCUUCUUGUAAUGUCUAACUUGCAUGGUGAGGAAGGUUGAACGACUUGUCCUACUCAAGACGCAAUGAAAUGCUUUUUCUGGACAAUAAGGAUUGGGAGGAGGAGGUCUUGAGGCUGACAGGAAUAUUGUCACGUGAAGACCCUGGUCGGAGGUACUCACUGAUCUGGCUGCCCGUGACAGUGAAGAGAUUAAAUCCUCUUUUGUUUCCCAAACUGGCACUGACUCUGUUAAUGGAGACAAGGUCAGAGCCUCUGCAGCUGGCUGUUGCCUGUGCCAGGGCUGAAGCACGUUGCAGGAGGGAUGGAGGACCCAGUGCUGGCAAACUCAUUAUAAUUCAGUGCCUUGUAACAAGGUGGAUUAAGAGAGUGAGCACAGCAACAUGGUUCUUCAGGAGGCUAAUUUCCCUCGAAUCAGCAAUGGAGAUGGAGAAGGAAAAUUCCUCCUUUCCCCACCUGCCUCUCGGAGAGAAAAUCCAGAGGACUGGAAUGGACUUACAUCUUUGGUGGCAUUGUGACCAAUUGGAGCAAACCAUGCAUCAUUAAACCAUGGAAGACUCUCCUUUCCACGCCCAGAGAAAGGAAUAAACUUGGUACAACAGCAGCA